Molecule: long non-coding RNA, 146 nt
Organism: Leopardus geoffroyi (Geoffroy's cat)
Lineage: Eukaryota; Metazoa; Chordata; Mammalia; Carnivora; Felidae
Exons: 2
Source: RefSeq, a predicted model, not a curated record
CUCAAAAAUUAGAAAAACCUGAGUAGUAUUACAAUCAUUAAAAAAAAAUUAAAUCAGUUAAAAAAAAAACAACUCCUCUCACAUAUAUACACAAAAUUCUCUACACACAGCUGACCUAGGAAUAACCAGCUUUACAGAAACUAUCC